RNAcentral lists this long non-coding RNA (262 nucleotides) under Lynx pardinus (Iberian lynx). Lineage: Eukaryota; Metazoa; Chordata; Mammalia; Carnivora; Felidae. The record is from RNAcentral.
CUAUGUACAUUUAAGCAAGAUUUUCCUGAACCUGUUCUACUUUAAAUGGCAAUUAAAAACCAAACCAGCGUCUCUGACUUCCUGCUCCUGGGCUUCUCUGCACACCCUGAGCAGCAGCCUCUCCUGUUCGGACUCUUCCUGGGCAUGUACCUGGUCACCAUGUUGGGGAACCUGCUCAUAAUCAUGGCCAUAGUUUCUGACCAGCACCUCCACACCCCCAUGUACUUCUUCCUGGCCAACCUGUCCUUCAUCGAUACCUGCU